Molecule: ribosomal RNA, 303 nt
Filed under: Halomonadaceae gen. sp. strain I-18
Lineage: Bacteria; Pseudomonadati; Pseudomonadota; Gammaproteobacteria; Oceanospirillales; Halomonadaceae
Description: bacterial SSU rRNA
Rfam family: Bacterial small subunit ribosomal RNA
Source: RNAcentral
GGACCUUGCGCUAUCGGAUGAGCCNAUGUCGGAUUAGCUAGUUGGUAGGGUAGCGGCCUACCAAGCCGNCGAUCCGUACCUGGUCUGAGAGGAUGAUCAGCCACAUCGGGACUGAGACACGNCCCGAACUCCUACGGGAGGCAGCAGUGGGGAAUAUUGGACAAUGGGGGCAACCCUGAUCCANCCAUCCCGCGUGUGUGAAGAAGGCCUUCGGGUUGUAAAGCACUUUCAGCGAGGAAGAAGGCCUGCUGGCCAAUACCCAGCAGGAAGGACAUCACUCGCAGAAGAAGCACCGGCUAACUC